GGCCAUUGCAAAAUGCAUACCAUCGCAUGGACCUCUGUGAGAGCCAUGCUACAAAGUUGAGAAUGGAUAUUUUAAAUUACCGGUGACAAAAAAAAUGGAUAUUUUCACCUUCACAAACGGAACGAAACAGAAUUGAUUCAGUUUUACCAUUUACAGCGCACAAUUCGAUCCUUCGAUGGCAGUGACCAGAUUUGGUUAUUUAGUUAGCUGUAUCUAA
This 217-nucleotide long non-coding RNA is filed under the name Helianthus annuus (common sunflower). RNAcentral describes it as "hypothetical non coding rna". Lineage: Eukaryota; Viridiplantae; Streptophyta; Magnoliopsida; Asterales; Asteraceae. The record is from RNAcentral.